This 938-nucleotide small RNA is filed under the name Histoplasma capsulatum var. duboisii H88. RNAcentral describes it as "Histoplasma capsulatum H88 hypothetical RNA". Lineage: Eukaryota; Fungi; Ascomycota; Eurotiomycetes; Onygenales; Ajellomycetaceae. The record is from RNAcentral.
AGACAUCCCCCACAUCCCAUUCACAUUAGUCCUGCAACCUUCAGGAAGAGAACGGAAAAAUAUCCAACAAAAGUAAUUAUAUCUAUCUCAAAUUAACUACUAUAUCUCUUCCGUCGGCGAGAUUGUAUAGUGCGUCGCAUUUCCCCGCCCCUCCUGCACGAGCCUAUCUUUGCACAACGUGUAGCGGAGACCAUUUCUCGCGCGCGAAUUAAGGAAAAGCGGAAAAGGAUACAACCACCCACAUUGCUCCCUUAAAAUAAUCCAAGUCCACGAUCCUCAUCUAUAUCCAACCCAUAUAUAUUAUAGGAGAAUAUAAUUUUACUCGCGUCUCGGCCCCUUCCCAAAUGUCACCGCGGAAAUCCACAUCCUCCGUCGCAGAGGCCAGCAGCCAUGAAGAAGAACAGCAAGCGGCGGCGGAGAGCUCAAAAACAGCCGGGAGCGGUACAGACCCUAUCGAGACCGGCGUGAAUGUUGAGGAUUACCUCCUCCCGCGAUCUCUCACGCAACGAUUGGCAAAGAGUGUUUUGCCUCCGAACACCUCGAUACAGAAAGACGCGUUGUUAGCAAUCUCCAAGGCCGCUACGGUAUUCGUUUCAUACCUCUCAUCACACGCAAACGAAGAGACCGAAAAGAAAACCAUAACCCCACAAGACGUCUUCGCCGCCCUCUCCCAAAUAGAAUUUGACGCCUUCCUCCCGCGCCUCGAGCGCGAACUAGCCGUGUACACUGAAGCAGCUGCAGAGAAGCGGAGGGGCAAGAAGGAUCGCAAAUCUGGCGCUGCUACUACGGCUGCGACGAUGGGGAUAGAAACAGGUGCCGGUGCAGUAGGAAAUGUAGGCGCCGCUUCACCUGCGGAUGGGGCUGGAAAUGUUGAGGAUGGGAUUGAGCCAGGUGCUAAGCGUCUAAAACGGGGUGGAGAGGGUGCAACAGAGAUGGCA